Molecule: long non-coding RNA, 273 nt
Filed under: Chinchilla lanigera (long-tailed chinchilla)
Lineage: Eukaryota; Metazoa; Chordata; Mammalia; Rodentia; Chinchillidae
Description: lncRNA (ENSCLAG00000024637.1)
Source: RNAcentral
UGACAAACGGUCAGCUCAGCUCCUUGCCUAUGCACCAGGGACAGUGCCCAGCACACGGUCACUGUGGUGGUCACAGAACACAGAACAGCUGUUUUUGAUAAUCAGGAUAGUAUAAGGAAGCACAGUCAUAGGCCCCUGGGGAAGCCUGAGAGACACCCACCGAGCAGGGAAGGGUCUGAUGAUGAGAGAGACCCCAACAGAGACAGUCAGGACUUUCUCCCCUCAAGUAUCUUGCAGGUAAGUGGAACGUAAAUGAAGGGUACGUGGAAGAAA